This 252-nucleotide unclassified non-coding RNA is filed under the name Pleosporormiella terricola. Its description in RNAcentral is "Preussia terricola partial internal transcribed spacer region". The stretch from base 1 to 46 matches the Rfam family "Eukaryotic small subunit ribosomal RNA", at positions 1786 to 1831 of the family's 1831-position model. Lineage: Eukaryota; Fungi; Ascomycota; Dothideomycetes; Pleosporales; Sporormiaceae. The record is from RNAcentral.
AAGUCGUAACAAGGUUUCCGUAGGUGAACCUGCGGAAGGAUCAUUAUCGUGGGGCUUCGGCCCCGUCGAGAUAGCACCCUUGCCUUUAUGAGUACCUUGGUUCCCUCCCCCGUACCCUCGGGGAGCGGGAGGGACCUCGUCUGUUCCCCCAACGGUAACCCCGCGGGGACACGAAACACGCUGUAAGCACCUGUAACAGUCUGAUAAACAAACAAAAAAUCAAAACUUUCAACAACGGAUCUCUUGGUUCUG